AGCAGCCGCGGUAAUUCCAGCUCCAAUAGCGUAUAUUAAAGUUGUUGCAGUUAAAAAGCUCAUAGUUGAAUUUCGGGAUCAAUUAAUUGGUCGUGCCUAUGGUACGUACUGAUUUUAUUGGUUUCUCCCUUCUGACGAACCAUGAUGUCAUUAAUUUGGUGUCGUGGAGAAUCAGGACUGUUACUUUGAAAAAAUUAAGUGUUUAAAGCAGGCUAACGCUUGAAUACAUUAGCAUGGAAUAAUGAAAUAGGACGUUUGAUCCUAUUUUGUUGGUUUCUAGGAUCGACGUAAUGAUUAAUAGGGAUAGUUGGGGGCAUUAGUAUUCAAUUGUUAGAGGUGAAAUUCUUGGAUUUAUUGAAGACUAACUACUGCGAAAGCAUUUGCCAAGGAUGUUUUCAUUAAUCAAGAACGAAAGUUAGGGGAGUCGAAGACGAUCAGAUACCGUCGUAGUCUUAACCAUAAACUAUGCGACUAGGGAUCGGAUGAUGUUAAUUUUUUAAUUGUACUCAUUCGGCGCCUU
RNAcentral lists this ribosomal RNA (520 nucleotides) under uncultured Glomus. RNAcentral's name for it is "SSU rRNA". It matches the Rfam family "Eukaryotic small subunit ribosomal RNA", at positions 569 to 1089 of the family's 1831-position model. The record is from RNAcentral. Lineage: Eukaryota; Fungi; Glomeromycota; Glomeromycetes; Glomerales; Glomeraceae.